UGGGGAUGACGUCAAGUCCUCAUGGCCUUUAUGCUUAGGGCUACACACGUGCUACAAUGGGUGGUACAAAGAGCAGCCAACUCGCGAGAGCGCGCUAAUCUCAAAAAGCCAUCCUCAGUUCGGAUUGGAGUCUGCAACUCGACUCCAUGAAGUUGGAAUCGCUAGUAAUCGCGGAUCAGCAUGCCGCGGUGAAUACGUUCCCGGGCCUU
This 209-nucleotide ribosomal RNA is filed under the name uncultured Smithella sp. Its description in RNAcentral is "partial 16S ribosomal RNA". It matches the Rfam family "Bacterial small subunit ribosomal RNA", at positions 1174 to 1382 of the family's 1533-position model. Lineage: Bacteria; Pseudomonadati; Thermodesulfobacteriota; Syntrophia; Syntrophales; Smithellaceae. The record is from RNAcentral.